GCACGUCUUGUGCUGGCUGCCAUCCUGCUGUUUCUGGUAGUGGCAGUAGAUUUUGCCGGACGGCUGAUGUCGGUUCUGGCUGAUGGCGUGCU
Molecule: transfer RNA, 92 nt
Filed under: Escherichia coli
Lineage: Bacteria; Pseudomonadati; Pseudomonadota; Gammaproteobacteria; Enterobacterales; Enterobacteriaceae
Description: tRNA-Arg
Source: RNAcentral